CUCAAAUCCUGCAAUGUCUGAGAUGGACAGCCCUCCACCUUGCCUUGUCCAGGCCCUUCCUUGUUCAUAUUGGGGCUCUGGGGCCCUGGGUGGACAAGGCUCACACAGGGAGUUUGGGGCAGAGCAUGGCCUGGAGUCCAGGCCCCCUGACCCUUAGCCCAGUGUAUUUUUGAUUAAUGUUAGAAAGAAUGGUCUUAGAAUAGGACCCUUAUUUGGAAAGAAAACCUGAUGAAUGAGUACCCCUGGUUUACUCUACACUGAACAGGUGGAUUUUUCCAGAGCUGGGCCACCCUGGGGGGUGGGUGGUCACCUGCAGCUGCCCUGGGAGAUGAGCAGCUCUGUGAAUCCCGGAUUCUCUUCUCUGACACAGGCAGAGCAUCCUUCCUCUUGGGCCUCACUCCAUCCUGUGAUGGUCCAGGCUUCCGGGCGGAAGAGCACAGAGGACUUCCUUCCAUGAGGGCCUCUCCACCCUUCCUCUGAGAGGUGGCCCUGCAGUCUUCAACACGGAGAAAGUCAGGGGGCUGAGGGUGAGUGAAAGGCCAUUUCCUUUGCCCGGCCUGUCACCUGCUCCAGGAGAGGUAGGUGGCUCUCCUCACAGUCCUGGAGAUGCCUGCCCGGACUCUGGCCCAGGUGGCCUUCCUGAUGCGCCGGCUGAGAGUGCUGGGACCUGUCAGAGCAGCUGACACCUGCUUAUUCAGUCACCCUGAGAAAAACCUAGAAUCAGCUUCAGAUACGGAUUGCACGGUGGAGGAAUUAAAGGAAAGGAGGCCAUUAACUUCAGAUGUCCGGUGGCCAGAGUUCCCAAACAGAGAAGAACCGUGCCAGGGGCUUGGCCAGGACUGCCCUCAGGACAAGCACGCUGUGUCACAAAUGAGGAGUCCACCACACCAAAGAAUUACGGAGUCUACGACAUGCGCAGUGGGAAUGAUGAAAAGCCCUGAGACAGCCCCAUCCAGGACAGCAGGGAAG
RNAcentral lists this long non-coding RNA (969 nucleotides) under Equus asinus (donkey). RNAcentral describes it as "lncRNA (ENSEASG00005031651.1)". Lineage: Eukaryota; Metazoa; Chordata; Mammalia; Perissodactyla; Equidae. The record is from RNAcentral.